This 369-nucleotide ribosomal RNA is filed under the name uncultured bacterium. RNAcentral's name for it is "bacterial SSU rRNA". It matches the Rfam family "Bacterial small subunit ribosomal RNA", at positions 28 to 393 of the family's 1533-position model. The record is from RNAcentral.
GAUGAACGCUAGCGGCAGGCUUAAUACAUGCAAGUCGAGGGGUAACACGGGUAGCAAUAUCUGGUGACGACCGGCAAACGGGUGCGGAACACGUACAGAACCUUCCUUUAAGCGGGGGAUAGCCCAUAGAAAUGUGGAUUAAUACCCCACUAGUAAUAUUGUCUGGCAUCAGAUGGUAUUUAAAGAUUUAUCACUUAAAGAUGGCUGUGCGGCUGAUUAGGUAGUUGGUGUGGGAACGGCCCACCAAGCCAGCGAUCAGUAACUGGUGUGAGAGCACGACCAGUCACACGGGCACUGAGACACGGGCCCGACUCCUACGGGAGGCAGCAGUAAGGAAUAUUGGUCAAUGGACGCAAGUCUGAACCAGCC